GACGAACGCUGGCGGCGUGCUUAACACAUGCAAGUCGAACGGAAAGGCCCUGCUUUUGUGGGGUGCUCGAGUGGCGAAAGGGUGAGUAACACGUGAGUAACCUUCCCUUGACUUUGGGAUAACUUCAGGAAACUGGGGCUAAUACCGGAUAGGAGCUCCUGCUGCAUGGUGGGGGUUGGAAAGGUUCGGCGGGUGGGGAUGGGCUCGCGGCUUAUCAGCUUGUUGGUGGGGUAGUGGCUUACCAAGGCUUUGACGGGUAGCCGGCCUGAGAGGGUGACCGGCCACAUUGGGACUGAGAUACGGCCCAGACUCCUACGGGAGGCAGCAGUGGGGAAUAUUGCACAAUGGGCGGAAGCCCGAUGCAGCAACGCCGCGUGCGGGAUGACGGCCUUCGGGUUGUAAACCGCUUUCGCCUGUGACGAAGCGUGAGUGACGGUAAUGGGUAAAGAAGCACCGGCUAACUACGUG
RNAcentral lists this ribosomal RNA (468 nucleotides) under uncultured bacterium. Its description in RNAcentral is "partial 16S ribosomal RNA". It matches the Rfam family "Bacterial small subunit ribosomal RNA", at positions 28 to 507 of the family's 1533-position model. The record is from RNAcentral.